This 466-nucleotide ribosomal RNA is filed under the name uncultured bacterium. RNAcentral describes it as "partial 16S ribosomal RNA". It matches the Rfam family "Bacterial small subunit ribosomal RNA", at positions 28 to 505 of the family's 1533-position model. The record is from RNAcentral.
GACGAACGCUGGCGGCGUGCUUAACACAUGCAAGUCGAACGGAAAGGCCCUGCUUUUGUGGGGUGCUCGAGUGGCGAACGGGUGAGUAACACGUGAGUAACCUGCCCUUGACUUUGGGAUAACUUCAGGAAACUGGGGCUAAUACCGGAUAGGAGCUCCUGCUGCAUGGUGGGGGUUGGAAAGUUUCGGCGGUUGGGGAUGGACUCGCGGCUUAUCAGCUUGUUGGUGGGGUAGUGGCUUACCAAGGCUUUGACGGGUAGCCGGCCUGAGAGGGUGACCGGCCACAUUGGGACUGAGAUACGGCCCAGACUCCUACGGGAGGCGGCAGUGGGGAAUAUUGCACAAUGGGCGGAAGCCUGAUGCAGCAACGCCGCGUGCGGGAUGAAGGCCUUCGGGUUGUAAACCGCUUUCGCCUGUGACGAAGCGUGAGUGACGGUAAUGGGUAAAGAAGCACCGGCUAACUACG